AUAAAGAAAGGAGAGAAGGGCACAUGAAGGAUGCCUGGGCUCUCGGAGGCGAUGAAGGACGUGAUAAGCUGCGAUAAGCUGCGGGUAGGAGCAAAUAUCCCUUGAUCCGCAGAUUUCCGAAUGGGGCAACCCACUGCCCGAACAGGCAGUAUCUUCCGAAUGGAAGAAGCGAACUUGGGGAACUGAAACAUCUCAGUACCCAAAGGAAAAGAAAAUAACCCAAUGAUUGCGCCAGUAGUGGCGAGCGAACGCGCAAGAGCCCAAACCGGCGGUGUUCAGGCACUGACCGGGGUUGUAGGACCGUCAGCAAAUGGACAGUCAGAAGUUAGCCGAAGCCUCUGGAAAGGGGCGCCGCAGCGGGUGACAGCCCCGUAGGCGAAAACAGACGACUGACAGAGACGGCACCUGAGUAAGCCGGGACACGAGAAAUCCUGGCCGAAUCCGCGGGGACCAUCCCGUAAGGCUAAAUACUACCGAGAGACCGAUAGCGAACCAGUACCGUGAGGGAAAGGUGAAAAGAACCUCGAACAGAGGAGUGAAACAGACCCUGAAAUCAUGUGCCUACAAGCGGUCGGAGCUGCUUCGUGCAGUGACGGCGUGCCUUUUGCAUAAUGAACCUACGAGUUACCGUCGUUGGCGAGGCUAAGUCCACUGAUGGACGGAGCCGAAGCGAAAGCGAGUCAGAAUAUGGCGCAAUCUAGUCAGCGGCGGUAGACGCGAAACCAAGUGAUCUACCCUUGGGCAGGUUGAAGGUGGGGUAACACCCACUGGAGGACCGAACCGGUAAGCGUUGAAAAGCUUUCGGAUGACCUGAGGGUAGGAGUGAAAGGCCAAUCAAACUUGGAGAUAGCUCGUACUCCCCGAAAUGCAUUUAGGUGCAGCCUCGGGCGCAGUACCGUGGAGGUAGAGCGACUGAUAGGAUGCGAGGGCUUCACCGCCUAUCAAGUCCUGACAAACUCCGAAUGCCACGGCACGAUCCCCGGGAGUGAGGGCGCGGGUGCUAAGGUCCGCGUCCGAGAGAGGAACAACUCAGACCACCGUCUAAGGCCCCCAAAUCCGGGCUAAGUUGAAGACAAUAACGAGGUGGGAUUGCAAGGACAGCUAGGAUGUUGGCUUGGAAGCAGCCAUUCAUUUAAAGAGUGCGUAACAGCUCACUAGUCGAGUGAUCCCGCAUGGAUAAUAAUCGGGCAUAAGUCCGGUGCCGAAGACGUGGAAU
This 1216-nucleotide ribosomal RNA is filed under the name Muribaculaceae bacterium S4. RNAcentral describes it as "partial 23S ribosomal RNA". It matches the Rfam family "Bacterial large subunit ribosomal RNA", at positions 1 to 1208 of the family's 2925-position model. Lineage: Bacteria; Pseudomonadati; Bacteroidota; Bacteroidia; Bacteroidales; Muribaculaceae. The record is from RNAcentral.